This is a non-coding RNA of Heterocephalus glaber (naked mole-rat), 69 nucleotides long. The record is from Rfam. NCBI's taxonomy places the organism in Eukaryota, Metazoa, Chordata, Mammalia, Rodentia, Bathyergidae.
GGGGAUGUAGCUCAGUGGUAGAGCAUUUGCCUAGCAUGCAUAAUGCCCUGGGUUCGAUGCCCAACACCA